GACGAACGCUGGCGGCGUGCUUAACACAUGCAAGUCGAACGGAAAGGCCCUGCUUUUGUGGGGUGCUCGAGUGGCGAACGGGUGAGUAACACGUGAGUAACCUGCCCUUGACUUUGGGAUAACUUCAGGAAACUGGGGCUAAUACCGGAUAGGAGCUCCUGCUGCAUGGUGGGGGUUGGAAAGUUUCGGCGGUUGGGGAUGGACUCGCGGCUUAUCAGCUUGUUGGUGGGGUAGUGGCUUACCAAGGCUUUGACGGGUAGCCGGCCUGAGAGGGUGACCGGCCACAUUGGGACUGAGAUACAGCCCAGACUCCUACGGGAGGCAGCAGUGGGGAAUAUUGCACAAUGGGCGGAAGCCUGAUGCAGCAACGCCGCGUGCGGGAUGACGGCCUUCGGGUUGUAAACCGCUUUCGCCUGCGACGAAGCGUGAGUGACGGUAAUGGGUAAAGAAGCACCGGCUAACUACGUG
Molecule: ribosomal RNA, 468 nt
Filed under: uncultured bacterium
Lineage: Bacteria
Description: partial 16S ribosomal RNA
Rfam family: Bacterial small subunit ribosomal RNA
Source: RNAcentral